GCCCCAACUCCCACCCAGGCUCAUGCUGUGGCAGAGGUUGAUGGAGAGCCACACUCAUUCUCUCCCACUCUCCCCAUGGGCACAUUCUCCGAAAAGCAUGAAAAUGGAGCUGCAUCACACAUCCUAAGACACAGUCAGACCUCCACCAGGCAGUUCAGGAAGGAAGAGGAACUUCUUUCCCAAGAGCAGCUGCCAUGAGAAGAGCAGCUUGCUCCACUGAGUGCUCCCCAUGAUGAUGUGCUGCCUCACCACAGCCCCAAAGGCAAAAGGGCGAAGUGUCCAUGGACUGAAACCUCUGGAACCAUGAGCCAAAAUAAACCCUUCCUCUUUGUAAGUUGA
Heterocephalus glaber (naked mole-rat) is the source of this 339-nucleotide long non-coding RNA. RefSeq lists it as uncharacterized. The record is from RefSeq and is a predicted model, not a curated record. Lineage: Eukaryota; Metazoa; Chordata; Mammalia; Rodentia; Bathyergidae.